UGGGGAAUAUUGCACAAUGGGCGCAAGCCUGAUGCAGCCAUGCCGCGUGUAUGAAGAAGGCCUUCGGGUUGUAAAGUACUGUCAGCGGGGAGGAAGGGAGUAAAGUUAAUACCUUUGCUCAUUGACGUUACCCGCAGAAGAAGCACCGGAUAACUCCGUGCCAGCAGCCGCGGUAAUACGGAGGGUGCAAGCGUUAAUCGGAAUUACUGGGCGUAAAGCGCACGCAGGCGGUUUGUUAAGUCAGAUGUGAAAUCCCCGGGCUCAACCUGGGAACUGCAUCUGAUACUGGCAAGCUUGAGUCUCGUAGAGGGGGGUAGAAUUCCAGGUGUAGCGGUGAAAUGCGUAGAGAUCUGGAGGAAUACCGGUGGCGAAGGCGGCCCCCUGGACGAAGACUGACGCUCAGGUGCGAAAGCGUGGGGAGCAAACAGG
RNAcentral lists this ribosomal RNA (429 nucleotides) under Chloroflexota bacterium. RNAcentral describes it as "Chloroflexi bacterium partial 16S ribosomal RNA". It matches the Rfam family "Bacterial small subunit ribosomal RNA", at positions 355 to 776 of the family's 1533-position model. Lineage: Bacteria; Bacillati; Chloroflexota. The record is from RNAcentral.